GAUGAACGCUGGCGGCGUGCCUAAUACAUGCAAGUCGAGCGAACGGACGCGAAGCUUGCUUCUCUGAUGUUAGCGGCGGACGGGUGAGUAACACGUGGAUAACCUACCUAUAAGACUGGGAUAACUUCGGGAAACCGGAGCUAAUACCGGAGAAUAUUUUGAACCGCAUGGUUCAAAAGUGAAAGACGGUCUUGCUGUCACUUAUAGAUGGAUCCGGGCUGCAUUAGCUAGUUGGUAAGGUAACGGCUUACCAAGGCAACGAUGCAUAGCCGACCUGAGAGGGGGAUCGGCCGCACUAGAACUUGGCCACGGUCCAUGCGCCUGCGGGAGGGAGCAGUAGGGAAUGUGACGCAGUGGGCGGAAGCCUGACGGAGCAGCGCGACGUGAGUGGUGGAGGUGUUCGGAUCGUAAUGCUGUGUUAUGAGGUGUGAACAUAUUUGUAAGGAACUGUGCACAGAUUGACGGUACCUAAUAAGAAAGCCACGGCUAACUACGUG
This 497-nucleotide ribosomal RNA is filed under the name uncultured bacterium. Its description in RNAcentral is "partial 16S ribosomal RNA". It matches the Rfam family "Bacterial small subunit ribosomal RNA", at positions 28 to 507 of the family's 1533-position model. The record is from RNAcentral.